AUUGAACGCUGGCGGCAGGCCUAACACAUGCAAGUCGAACGGUAACAGAAAGCAGCUUGCUGCUUUGCUGACGAGUGGCGAACGGGUGAGUAAUGUCUGGGAAACUGCCUGAUGGAGGGGGAUAACUACUGGAAACGGUAGCUAAUACCGCAUAACGUCGCAAGACCAAAGAGGGGGACCUUCGGGCCUCUUGCCAUCGGAUGUGCCCAGAUGGGAUUAGCUUGUUGGUGGGGUAACGGCUCACCAAGGCGACGAUCCCUAGCUGGUCUGAGAGGAUGACCAGCCACACUGGAACUGAGACACGGUCCAGACUCCUACGGGAGGCAGCAGUGGGGAAUAUUGCACAAUGGGCGCAAGCCUGAUGCAGCCAUGCCGCGUGUAUGAAGAAGGCCUUCGGGUUGUAAAGUACUUUCAGCGGGGAGGAAGGGAGUAAAGUUAAUACCUUUGCUCAUUGACGUUACCCGCAGAAGAAGCACCGGCUAACUCCGUG
RNAcentral lists this ribosomal RNA (490 nucleotides) under uncultured bacterium. RNAcentral describes it as "partial 16S ribosomal RNA". It matches the Rfam family "Bacterial small subunit ribosomal RNA", at positions 30 to 507 of the family's 1533-position model. The record is from RNAcentral.